GAGGGGAAUCUUCCGCAAUGGACGAAAGUCUGACGGAGCAACGCCGCGUGAGUGAAGAAGGUUUUCGGAUCGUAAAGCUCUUUCGUUAGGGACGAACGUGCUCUUUGUGAAUAAUGAGGAGUAAUGACGGUACCUAAAUAAGAAGCCACGGCUAACUACGUGCCAGCAGCCGCGGUAAUACGUAGGUGGCAAGCGUUGUCCGGAAUUAUUGGGCGUAAAGCGCGCGCAGGCGGGAUAUCAAGUCUGUCUUAAAAGUGCGAGGCUCAACCUCGUGAGGGGACAGAAACUGGUAUUCUUGAGUGUCGGAGAGGAAAGUGGAAUUCCAAGUGUAGCGGUGAAAUGCGUAGAGAUUUGGAAGAACACCAGUGGCGAAGGCGACUUUCUGGACGAUGUCUGACGCUGAGGCGCGAAAGCUAGGGGAGCGAACGGGAUUAGAAACCCUGGUAGUCC
RNAcentral lists this ribosomal RNA (450 nucleotides) under uncultured bacterium. RNAcentral's name for it is "partial 16S ribosomal RNA". It matches the Rfam family "Bacterial small subunit ribosomal RNA", at positions 354 to 796 of the family's 1533-position model. The record is from RNAcentral.